AAGGGCUUAGCUUAAUGAAAGUGAUUGAUUUGCGUUCAGUAGAUGUAGAGUAAAUUCUGCAGUCCUUA
RNAcentral lists this transfer RNA (68 nucleotides) under Micronycteris hirsuta. RNAcentral describes it as "tRNA-Ala". It matches the Rfam family "tRNA". From Rfam's summary of the family: Transfer RNA (tRNA) molecules are approximately 80 nucleotides in length. Their secondary structure includes four short double-helical elements and three loops (D, anti-codon, and T loops). Further hydrogen bonds mediate the characteristic L-shaped molecular structure. tRNAs have two regions of fundamental functional importance: the anti-codon, which is responsible for specific mRNA codon recognition, and the 3' end, to which the tRNAs corresponding amino acid is attached (by aminoacyl-tRNA synthetases). tRNAs cope with the degeneracy of the genetic code in two manners: having more than one tRNA (with a specific anti-codon) for a particular amino acid; and 'wobble' base-pairing, i.e. permitting non-standard base-pairing at the 3rd anti-codon position. Lineage: Eukaryota; Metazoa; Chordata; Mammalia; Chiroptera; Phyllostomidae. The record is from RNAcentral.